CAGCAGCCGCGGGAAUACGAAGGGUGCAAGCGUUACUCGGAAUUACUGGGCGUAAAGCGUGCGUAGGUGGUGGUUUAAGUCCGUUGUGAAAGCCCUGGGCUCAACCUGGGAAUUGCAGUGGAUACUGGGUCACUAGAGUGUGGUAGAGGAUAGUGGAAUUUCCGGUGUAGCAGUGAAAUGCGUAGAGAUCGGAAGGAACAUCUGUGGCGAAGGCGACUAUCUGGGCCAACACUGACACUGAGGCACGAAAGCGUGGGGAGCAAACAGGAUUAGAGACCCCUGUAGUCCCUGUCUCUUAUAC
RNAcentral lists this ribosomal RNA (301 nucleotides) under uncultured bacterium. Its description in RNAcentral is "partial 16S ribosomal RNA". It matches the Rfam family "Bacterial small subunit ribosomal RNA", at positions 509 to 807 of the family's 1533-position model. The record is from RNAcentral.